This 512-nucleotide ribosomal RNA is filed under the name uncultured bacterium. RNAcentral describes it as "bacterial SSU rRNA". It matches the Rfam family "Bacterial small subunit ribosomal RNA", at positions 791 to 1308 of the family's 1533-position model. The record is from RNAcentral.
UAGUCCACGCCGUAAACGAUGAUUACUCGAUGUUGGCAAUACACCGUCAGCGUCCAUGCGAAAGCGUUAAGUAAUCCACCUGGGGAGUACGAUCGCAAGAUUGAAACUCAAAGGAAUUGACGGGGGCCCGCACAAGCGGAGGAGCAUGUGGUUUAAUUCGAUGGUACGCGAGGAACCUUACCUGGGCUCAAAUGUAUUUUGACAACUCCCGAAAGGGAGCUUUUCUUCGGAACAAUUUACAAGGUGCUGCAUGGUUGUCGUCAGCUCGUGCCGUGAGGCGUCGGGUUAAGUCCCAUAACGAGCGCAACCCCUAUUCUUAGUUGCCAGCGGAUAAUGCCGGGGACUCUAAGAAAACUGCCAGUGUAAACUGAGGGGAAGUGGGGAUGACGUCAAAUCAUCACGGCCCUUACGUCCUGGGCUACACACGUGCUACAAUGGUCUGUACAGAGAGUUGCUAACUGGUGACAGUGUGCUAAUCUCUAAAGCAGGCCUCAGUUCGGAUUGGGGUCUGC